Long non-coding RNA from Magnolia sinica, 393 nucleotides. RefSeq lists it as uncharacterized. The transcript is spliced from 3 exons. Lineage: Eukaryota; Viridiplantae; Streptophyta; Magnoliopsida; Magnoliales; Magnoliaceae. The record is from RefSeq and is a predicted model, not a curated record.
AGAUCAAAAGAAAUUUUAUUAUGUUCUUGUGGGUGGUUGAGUGUUGAUUGAGAAUACACAUUGAUUUAUUUCUAUGAUCACGCUUAACCUCCAAUGUACACAAACGAAUCGGUUUUAUUGACUGGAGAAGGAAAUGAUUAUUUCCUAGGGUCAGGAAAGGACAUGGGACAAGUUUAGGAGAGCAAUGUAGCCAUAUCUGCAUUGGUCUCAUACAGAGGACUACGCAAGUUUCCUUGGGAGUGUGAUAUUGUCACUAAGAUCUUAGUGUCAUUUGUUUUUCAAAUGGUCACAUUCGCAGCAGGACCACCUGAUGAGUAUCUCGGAUCUCUUACACAUGUUCCCUGUUCAAGCCCUGUUUGGAGGACUCUCUCAAGUGAGAUAGACGGACCUCAC